AUCCAGCUGACGAGUCCCAAAUAGGACGGAACGUGCAUCAUGGAU
This 45-nucleotide non-coding RNA is filed under the name Schistosoma curassoni. Lineage: Eukaryota; Metazoa; Platyhelminthes; Trematoda; Strigeidida; Schistosomatidae. The record is from RNAcentral.